This 502-nucleotide ribosomal RNA is filed under the name uncultured bacterium. Its description in RNAcentral is "partial 16S ribosomal RNA". It matches the Rfam family "Bacterial small subunit ribosomal RNA", at positions 29 to 523 of the family's 1533-position model. The record is from RNAcentral.
AACGAACGCUGGCGGCGUGCUUAACACAUGCAAGUCGAGCGGUAACAGGCGUAGCAAUACGUGCUGACGAGCGGCGAACGGGUGAGUAAUGCUUCGGAAUCUUCCUUGUAGUGGGGAAUAACCUGGGGAAACUCAGGCUAAUGCCGCAUACGAACCAUGGUUGAAAGCGGGGGAUCGCAAGACCUCGCGCUAUAAGACGAGCCGACGUCGGAUUAGCUAGUUGGUGGGGUAAAGGCCUACCAAGGCGACGAUCCGUAGCUGGUCUGAGAGGACGACCAGCCACACUGGGACUGAGACACGGCCCAGACUCCUACGGGAGGCAGCAGUGGGGAAUAUUGGACAAUGGGGGAAACCCUGAUCCAGCAAUGCCGCGUGUGUGAAGAAGGCCUGCGGGUUGUAAAGCACUUUCAGUAGAGAAGGACUGCCUGGAGCUAACAUCUCCGGGUUUUGACGUAACCUACAGAAGAAGCACCGGCUAACUCCGUGCCAGCCGCCGCAGUAA